GAGGCUUCGACAAUGACCGAAAGGUUGAUCGAGCGACGCCGCGUGCGGGAUGAAGGUCUUCGGAUUGUAAACCGCUUUUGUUUGGGAAGAAGGCCUGUAUCGUGAAUAUGGGAUUGACGGUACCAACCGAAUAAGCCCCGGCUACCUCCGUUCCAGCAGCCGCGGUAAGACGGAGGGGGCAAGCGUUGUUCGGAAUCAUUGGGCGUAAAGGGCUCGGAGGCGGACUAGCAAGUCUGACGUGAAAUCUCCACCGCUCACCGGGGAGAGGUCGUUGGAUACUACUAGUCUUGAGUUCGGUAGAGGGUCGUGGAAUUUCGGGUGUAGCGGUGGAAUGCGUAGAUAUCCGAAAGAACACCGGUGGCGAAGGCGGCGACCUGGGCCUGAACUGACGCUGAGGAGCGAAAGCUAGGGGAGCAAACGGG
RNAcentral lists this ribosomal RNA (422 nucleotides) under uncultured bacterium. Its description in RNAcentral is "bacterial SSU rRNA". It matches the Rfam family "Bacterial small subunit ribosomal RNA", at positions 359 to 776 of the family's 1533-position model. The record is from RNAcentral.